UAGGGAAUCUUCCGCAAUGGGCGAAAGCCUGACGGAGCAACGCCGCGUGAGUGAUGAAGGUCUUCGGAUCGUAAAACUCUGAUAUUAGGGAAGAACAAAUGUGUAAGUAACUAUGCACGUCUUGACGGUACCUAAUCAGAAAGCCACGGCUAACUACGUGCCAGCAGCCGCGGUAAUACGUAGGUGGCAAGCGUUAUCCGGAAUUAUUGGGCGUAAAGCGCGCGUAGGCGGUUUUUUAAGUCUGAUGUGAAAGCCCACGGCUCAACCGUGGAGGGUCAUUGGAAACUGGAAAACUUGAGUGCAGAAGAGGAAAGUGGAAUUCCAUGUGUAGCGGUGAAAUGCGCAGAGAUAUGGAGGAACACCAGUGGCGAAGGCGACUUUCUGGUCUGUAACUGACGCUGAUGUGCGAAAGCGUGGGGAUCAAACAGG
Molecule: ribosomal RNA, 429 nt
Filed under: Actinomycetes bacterium
Lineage: Bacteria; Bacillati; Actinomycetota; Actinomycetes
Description: Actinobacteria bacterium partial 16S ribosomal RNA
Rfam family: Bacterial small subunit ribosomal RNA
Source: RNAcentral